ACACAAAGCAAAAAACAAAAACAAAGAUAUAUCUAGAAGCAAAAAAAGGAAAGUGCAGUGACGAUCUCUCUCCUUAGCUCCAAAGCUUUCCAAUCCAAGUUCCAUAUGAAAUUUGUUGGUUUUCAUCCCAAAUCGAAGGUACCCGUUCUUAAUUUGAAGUUUUUUCUUCCAUUUCUUUCCUUUCCAUCGCCGAUUUAAUGUUUUUUGCUCUUGAGAUCUGAAAUGAUGGUAAGGGUGCUGCUGCAAUUUGUACUUGUUCAACCCAAAUCGAAGAAGUAUGCAUCUUAAUCAUUGAUUUCUCAAAGGGUUCCAGUUUCCUGGAUUGCCUAUCAUUCUUCCACUGGACAACAUUCUUGCAGAGUGCUGGUGUCAUUGUACGCAAUUGACCAAUGUCCGGCCAUCCAUAAGAGAAUUUCCCAACUACUGCAUAUGGAAGCUCCUCAAUCGCAUUCAUCCGGGCUACUUCCUCUGUCCAUUUAACAUAAGGCUGUCCUUGUAGGAAAGUAAUUCUUUUGAUUGGAAUUUGAGCAUCUGGUUGUAUUUGUGUUUGAGUGUUUUCAUUCAAAACUGCUGGUUUGAAGAGGUUGGCGUAUUGUAAUUUGGUUUGUGGUUGUUCUUCUCCCUGUUUUGUUG
This is a long non-coding RNA of Lycium barbarum (goji berry), 633 nucleotides long. RefSeq lists it as uncharacterized. Lineage: Eukaryota; Viridiplantae; Streptophyta; Magnoliopsida; Solanales; Solanaceae. The record is from RefSeq and is a predicted model, not a curated record. The transcript is spliced from 3 exons.